RNAcentral lists this ribosomal RNA (253 nucleotides) under uncultured bacterium. Its description in RNAcentral is "partial 16S ribosomal RNA". It matches the Rfam family "Bacterial small subunit ribosomal RNA", at positions 524 to 776 of the family's 1533-position model. The record is from RNAcentral.
GACGAACCGUGCGAACGUUGUUCGGAAUCACUGGGCUUAAAGGGCGCGAAGGCGGAUUGCCAAGUCAGGGGUGAAAUCUCUCAGCUCAACUGGGAAAUUGCUUUUGAUACUGGCAGUCUCGAGUGAGGUAGGGGCAUGUGGAACUCUCGGUGGAGCGGUGAAAUGUGUUGAUAUCGGGAGUAACUCCGGUGGAGAAAGCGACGUGCUGGACUUCAACUGACGCUGAGGCGCGAAAGCUAGGGGAGCAAACGGG